RNAcentral lists this ribosomal RNA (486 nucleotides) under Shewanella sp. SPSA4. RNAcentral describes it as "bacterial SSU rRNA". It matches the Rfam family "Bacterial small subunit ribosomal RNA", at positions 388 to 868 of the family's 1533-position model. Lineage: Bacteria; Pseudomonadati; Pseudomonadota; Gammaproteobacteria; Alteromonadales; Shewanellaceae. The record is from RNAcentral.
GCAGCCAUGCCGCGUGUGUGAAGAAGGCUUCGGGUUGUAAAGCACUUUCAGCGAGGAGGAAAGCUUAAGCGUUAAUAGCGUUUAGGUGUGACGUUACUCGCAGAAGAAGGACCGGCUAACUUCGUGCCAGCAGCCGCGGUAAUACGAGGGGUCCAAGCGUUAAUCGGAAUUACUGGGCGUAAAGCGUACGCAGGCGGUUUGUUAAGCGAGAUGUGAAAGCCCCGGGCUCAACCUGGGAAUUGCAUUUCGAACUGGCAGACUAGAGUCUUGUAGAGGGGGGUAGAAUUUCAGGUGUAGCGGUGAAAUGCGUAGAGAUCUGAAGGAAUACCGGUGGCGAAGGCGGCCCCCUGGACAAAGACUGACGBUCAGGUACGAAAGCGUGGGGAGCAAACAGGAUUAGAUACCCUGGUAGUCCACGCCGUAAACGAUGUCUACUCGGAAUUUGGUGYCUUGAACACUGGGCUCCCAACUAACGCAUUAAGUAGA